This 405-nucleotide ribosomal RNA is filed under the name uncultured bacterium. RNAcentral's name for it is "bacterial SSU rRNA". It matches the Rfam family "Bacterial small subunit ribosomal RNA", at positions 355 to 772 of the family's 1533-position model. The record is from RNAcentral.
UGGGGAAUAUUGGACAAUGGGCGAAAGCCUGAUCCAGCAACGCCGCGUGAGGGAUGACGGCCUUCGGGUUGUAAACCUCUUUCAGCGCCGACGAAGCGAAAGUGACGGUAGGCGCAGAAGAAGCACCGGCCAACUACGUGCCAGCAGCCGCGGUAAUACGUAGGGUGCGAGCGUUGUCCGGAAUUAUUGGGCGUAAAGGGCUCGUAGGCGGUCUGUCGCGUCGGGAGUGAAAACUCAGGGCUUAACCCUGAGCCUGCUUCCGAUACGGGCAGACUAGAGGUAUGCAGGGGAGAACGGAAUUCCUGGUGUAGCGGUGAAAUGCGCAGAUAUCAGGAGGAACACCAGUGGCGAAGGCGGGUCUCUGGGCCGAUACUGACGCUGAGGAGCGAAAGCGUGGGGAGCGAA